CUCUCGGAGUGACGGGUACACUGUGGGGACCGCCGCUGCUAAAGCGGAGGAAGGAAUGGGCAACGGUAGGUCAGUAUGCCCCGAAUAUCCCGGGCUACACGCGAGCUACAAUGGUUGGUACAAUGGGUAUCUACCCCGAAAGGGGACGGGAAUCUCCUAAAACCAAUCUUAGUUCGGAUUGAGGGCUGCAACUCGCCCUCAUGAAGGCUGGAAUCCGUAGUAAUCGCGUUUCAACAGAACGCGGUGAAUACGUCCCUGCUCCUU
RNAcentral lists this ribosomal RNA (264 nucleotides) under uncultured Methanosaeta sp. Its description in RNAcentral is "partial 16S ribosomal RNA". It matches the Rfam family "Archaeal small subunit ribosomal RNA", at positions 1075 to 1338 of the family's 1478-position model. The record is from RNAcentral. Lineage: Archaea; Methanobacteriati; Methanobacteriota; Methanomicrobia; Methanotrichales; Methanotrichaceae.